UACGGAGGGUGCAAGCGUUAUCCGGAUUCACUGGGUUUAAAGGGUGCGUAGGUGGGCAGGUAAGUCAGUGGUGAAAUCUCCGGGCUUAACCCGGAAACUGCCAUUGAUACUAUCUGUCUUGAAUACCGUGGAGGUGAGCGGAAUAUGUCAUGUAGCGGUGAAAUGCUUAGAUAUGACAUAGAACACCAAUUGCGAAGGCAGCUCACUACACGAAUAUUGACACUGAGGCACGAAAGCGUGGGGAUCAAACAGG
RNAcentral lists this ribosomal RNA (253 nucleotides) under uncultured bacterium. Its description in RNAcentral is "partial 16S ribosomal RNA". It matches the Rfam family "Bacterial small subunit ribosomal RNA", at positions 524 to 776 of the family's 1533-position model. The record is from RNAcentral.